Long non-coding RNA from Rhinolophus ferrumequinum (greater horseshoe bat), 1273 nucleotides. RefSeq lists it as uncharacterized. Lineage: Eukaryota; Metazoa; Chordata; Mammalia; Chiroptera; Rhinolophidae. The record is from RefSeq and is a predicted model, not a curated record. The transcript is spliced from 4 exons.
CCUUUGACCUUCUGCGUUUUCUCGGUCCCAAGAAUAUCGCGACAACAAAACAGGCCUUCCCUCGACUGUAGCUGCGACAGCGCCCUCAAGUGUAGGGAGGCUCGUCCGUGGGAAUCUGCGCUCCAGUGGCGCGGACUCUGGCAGCCUGAGGGGUUUCACAAAAUACAUCCUGGCUAGAGAUCCGCUAGCUCCAAGCGCAGCCUCUGGAAGCUGGCCCGGUACAGGCGUGGUACUCAGCCAGUGAACACUGAGCUUACUGACUUGAGAAAGCUGAGAUGGCCUGCUGGAGAAUGAGAGCUCAUUUGAAGCAGAAUAAGUAGACAGAGCUGAGGUCUCUCCAGAACAACCAGCCUACCAACCAUCAGGAGUCACAUCUGUGUCAGGAUUCACCCAUGCCUGCUGAUCGACGGGGACACUAAGACUCUUCACCUGAAAGACUGCCAGUUGUGAUCUAAAGACAAUGAACUACUACUCAUCACUCCUGAAUUGCUUGGUCCUUGUAGUCUUUAUUGUGAUGCUAGAUAAACUGAAGUGUCACUCUAUAAUUUAAAUCUCUUUCUGGGAUCAGCACAGGUCACAAUGCCCCUGUUCCCUUGAGUUCAAUAGCAAGUAUUUAUACCAUUAAUUCUGAACCGUAAUCAUGCUUAGUUACAUGUGAUUAAACUGUUUCAUAUAUGUAUGCCAUAAUUAAUGUGAAUUCAUUUAUCUCUCAGACAUUUUUCAUCACUUUAUAAGCCAAAUACUCAGAUAUAUCUAUUUACCACAAUAACAAUAACACCUCGGUUAUGGCUUCAUGGCUUGUGGGGGUUGGGGUGGGGUGAGGAAGUUCUUUACCAUACAGAACAAAAACAUUAACUGAUAUCUCUUUACUGAUAUCAUUCAAUAAUUAUAAUUUAUAACAAUUUAUAGGCAUUUUAGGGAAAACUAAGGAAAUCCCAACAAAAGCAAAAAUCUUACUGAGUGUAAAUAAUUGACUGACAUUUAAUCCACCUCAGAUGACUACUCUAAAACAACCAUGAUUAUUCUAUUCCCUUACCAGUAAUUGGUUCAAAAUUCGGCAUGUGACCAAUUGUGCCAGGGUUCUUAGAAACACUCCCCCAGUCCUAAGAGUGGUCUUCUUUCUCUGGAUGUUGACAUGCCUGGGUUAUGAUGCCAAGGCUUUCUGCUGUAAUCUCUCUAUUGCCUGAGGAUGAAACUGUUACCUGAAGGAUGAAGCUCUGUCUGAAGGAUGACAGAGUAAAGGGAUCCUUCAUGACAUGGUUAUGCAACUGCA